This is a long non-coding RNA of Ostrea edulis (European flat oyster), 3585 nucleotides long. RefSeq lists it as uncharacterized. The transcript is spliced from 4 exons. The record is from RefSeq and is a predicted model, not a curated record. NCBI's taxonomy places the organism in Eukaryota, Metazoa, Mollusca, Bivalvia, Ostreida, Ostreidae.
AAAAAAAAAUGUAUGAGAAUGGAAACAAAAAUAUGCAUACCGGUGCAUUAUAACAGAAUAAGUUAUAAUUACUGCAGAAAUACGCAUACCGGUACAUUAUAACAGAAUAAGUUAUAAUUACUGCAGAACCUCUAGUUAGUGGAAUAAAACACUAUAUUCAUGUUGAUGAUGGUGUUCUUGGAAACUGCUAUAGAGUUCAUACAUGUUUGCUCGUACAGAAAUUGUGGGGCUCAUGUAUUGAAUUGAUGAAGGUGCAACUUUUUAUAUAGAAAGUUGUACACUUUUUUUCAUUGAAUAUGAAGUAUUUCAAGAGAAGAAGUGAAAUUUUACCGAAACGUUUGAGUCACAAAAGUUGUGUGGUGGUACAACAAGUACAAACACAUGAAGCUGAAUGACAUUUUGUUUCAAACUGCAUUGUGGACACACGGGGGUCACUUAUACAGUAGAUAUAUGAAUGGUAACUGUGUCUUGUGUACUAGAUAUAUGAGUGAUACCUGUGUCGUGUGUACUAGAUAUAUGAAUGAUACUUGUGUCGUGUGCAGUAGAUAUAUGAAUGAUACUUGUGUCGUGUGUAGUAGAUAUAUGAAUGAUACUUGUGUCGUGUGUAGUAGAUAUAUGAAUGGUACUUGUGUCGUGUGCAGUAGGUAUGAUAUAUGAGUGAUACUUGUGUCUUGUGCAGUAGAUAUGAUAUAUGAGUGAUACUUGUGUCUUGUGCAGUAAAUAUGAUAUAUGAGUGAUACUUGUGUCUUGUGCAGUAGAUAUGAUAUAUGGGUGAUACUUGUUGUAUUUUGUGCAGUAGAUAUGAUAUAUGAGUGAUACUUGUGUCUUGUGCAGUAGAUAUGAUAUAUGGGUGAUACUUGUUGUAUUUUGUGCAGUAGAUAUGAUAUAUGAGUGGUACUUGUGUCGUGUGCAGUAGAUAUGAUAUACGAGUGAUACUUGUAUUGUGUGCAGUAGAUAUGAUAUAUGAGUGAUACUUGUGUCUUGUGCAGUAGGUAUGAUAUAUGGGUGAUACUUGUUGUAUUUUGUGCAGUAGAUAUGAUAUAUGAAUGGUACUUGUGUCUUGUGCAGUAGAUAUGAUAUAUGAGUGAUACUUGUGUCUUGUGCAGUAGAUAUGAUAUAUGAGUGAUACUUGUGUCUUGUGCAGUAGAUAUGAUAUAUGGGUGAUACUUGUUGUAUUUUGUACAGUAGAUAUGAUAUAUGAGUGAUACUUGUGUCUUGUGCAGUAGAUAUGAUAUAUGAGUGAUACUUGUGUCUUGUGCAGUAGAUAUGAUAUAUGGGUGGUACUUGUAUCGUGUGCAGUAGAUAUGAUAUACGAGUGAUACUUGUGCAGUAGAUAUGAUAUAUGAGUGCAUGUUACGUGCUGUAUCUUGUGAAGUACAACUGUAGAUUACGAUGCUCUUACACUAUUUCUGACAGAAUUCUGUAAGGUUUUAGAAUUUUAACUUCAAGUCAAUGUAAUAGAUCUAUAAUGUAUUGGGAAAAAUGCAUGAAAUGAAAAUUUAAACAUUCAAAUUUUGUGGAUAUUUUAUGAGAAUGCAAGUGUAGGUUUUUGUAUAUCAGUAAUUUUAUUGUGGAUGAGGCUGUUAGUAUAUCAGUAAUUUUAUUGUGGAUGAGGCGGGUUUUUUUUUAUGCAUGUCUAUGACUGGGUGAAAGUCAUGCUUAAAGGCAUAGUACAUUAUUUGUCGUAGAAAUAGUGUAGAUUAGUACAUUAUUUGUCGUAGAACAAGUGUAGAUUUGUUGACUUAGCGCAUUAAGAUAAGCUUCGUAAUUCACUAUGGUUACAGUUGUAACUAACCUGAUAUGUGUUGUAUACAAAAUACAGUUAAACUUCAUUAUCUCGAACACUGAUAUCUUGAAUACCAUGGGUAUGUCAAAGUGAUUCGGAAGUCUCAACCAAUUAUUCUUUAAGUAUUUUACCCUCGAUAUCUCAAAUCCUGGGAUAAGUUUUUUCUCAGUCCCAUUGAGUUCUUGAUAACGAGGUUUGACUGUAUGUUUAAAAUUUUAUGGUAUAUUCAUAUUGUAUAGAGUAUCAUAUAUUUUUCAAAUUGUUGUAUUUUUAAAAAAAAAUCAUUUUUCACAUUUUGAAAUACUCUGGGGGAAAUUUAUACGCAUGUUAAAAGUUGUUGUGUUAUAUUGAAAAAGCUGCUGUUUCCUUUAUCUAAAUUUCAUUAUUGAUGUUAUGAUCAUAACUUUGAUAACAUCAUUUACUGUUACUAUACAGUCUGAUUGAUUGUUUCAUGACAUCAAAUAGGGCAACUAAAUACGGUAUUGAUUAAAUCUUCAUUUACAUGUAAUAAUCACAGACUUCUCAAUAUUUUCUCCAAACUGCAGGCAGUUAAAAAUAUCCUUUUUGUAUUCAAAGUACAUUUUAAAGUAAUCUUUGAAGUUUCCAUAUUAUUACUUAUAAUUACAUGCAUGAGUGUAGUGUCAUGUAAGUUUAUUCAUGUAUAAUUUAAUGGGUUUUUUUAAUUUUCUAUUUUUGUACUGUUUAUUGUCUGAAAAUUAUCAUCAUUGAUAAAUUCAUUAGAUUUCAUGCAGAGAAUUCGGUCAUAUCAAUAUGUAUUCAUACCAUCAUGAUAGUUUUCUAUAUACCGAAUCAUCUGAUACACUUUCAGUAUGUGAUAUGGAUAGGUACAUCUGUUAAGAUGCUCACCAGAAUUCUUAGCAGCCAUGACAAUUCAGACUAAUGAUAGGCACCAUUAACUAUAAAGAUUCUGCUGGGUGAUUCAGUGUUAGAAUGCAGCACACUUUCAGAUCUCUCUUGUAUUAUUCGUGGUCACUGUAUGUACAUGUGUGGUACGGUCAGAUAGUGCCAGUGACCAGAGAGAAUUCAGCGGGUAGAUAGACUAGAAUUCGGGAACUCCAGUUGAAUCCCUGUCUGAUUUGUCACAUUUUCUCCCUCUCAUUUUACAUUUUAAUAUUAAUGGGUAACUCGUACUGUGUCUCAUUUUAAUGUUGUAAAUAUCCAAUCUUUAUAGGUCAAUAUUGAGAUUCAUGCAUUUCAUGGUCAGAUUGUCAAAUAUUAAUUGCUUCCUCUUGGAUUUGGGUCUAACCUAUUUGCAAUAUUGGAAAAUAUUAAGUGCCAUAUUAUGUGAGUGAUGUAGUACUGUAUAUCGGAUAAUUUUGCUGCACUGGAAAUAUUGGAAAAUUUACCAGAACUAAAAGCACUGAAAGUUCUUUUUAUAUAGAUACACUUGUUAAAUGAAAUUGUGCCAAAAAUAGGCUUAAUUUUUUUUUAAUGAAAUGUGCUAGAUAUUCCUUAUGCCAAUAUUACCCGAUAUACAGUAACAUUGAACUCACUUUAAAGUUAUGAAUGUUAGUAACCCCUCAUUCUAUGAUAAGUUUUGUUUGAUUGGAGUAAAAUACAUUGUUAAUGAAAGUAUAAACCCAUUGUAAAAUGGCUAAACCAAGAUCAUAUAUAGAUGUUUGAAUGGUGUGGAAUUAAAUGCUUCAACAACAUUGAAAAUGUUAAUGGAAUGUAUUAAUUUGCAAUUGAACCAUUUUUUUUUUCUGUAGGAUAAUUCAAGUGUGUAUGUCCAGUGAAAAAUUAUUGAAAGAAUUAAUAAAAUGUUGAUCAAUUGUGAA